RNAcentral lists this unclassified non-coding RNA (283 nucleotides) under plant metagenome. Its description in RNAcentral is "partial contains small subunit ribosomal RNA, internal transcribed spacer 1, and 5.8S ribosomal RNA". The stretch from base 235 to 283 matches the Rfam family "5.8S ribosomal RNA", at positions 1 to 49 of the family's 154-position model. The record is from RNAcentral.
UUUCCGUAGGUGAACCUGCGGAAGGAUCAUUAUUGUAUAACCGAGGUGCGAGGGCUGUCGCUGACCCGAAAGGUCGUGCACGCCCGAGUGCCCUCACACACAUCCAUCUCACCCCUAUGUGCACCACCGCGUGGGUCCCCCUUUGGCUUGUUCGGAGGGGGGCUUACGUUUUCACACAAACUUUGUAUGCAGUGUAGAAUGUAUUUUUUGUUUUUGCGAUCACGCAAUCAAUACAACUUUCAACAACGGAUCUCUUGGCUCUCGCAUCGAGGAAGAACGCAGC